This 322-nucleotide ribosomal RNA is filed under the name Prorocentrum minimum. RNAcentral's name for it is "partial Bacterial large subunit ribosomal RNA". It matches the Rfam family "Bacterial large subunit ribosomal RNA", at positions 1909 to 2230 of the family's 2925-position model. Lineage: Eukaryota; Dinophyceae; Prorocentrales; Prorocentraceae. The record is from RNAcentral.
UGAUCGAAGCCCCGGUAAACGGCGGCCGUAACAAUAACGGUCCUAAGGUAGCGAAAUUCCUUGUCGGGUAAGUUCCGACCUGCACGAAUGGCGUAACGAUGGCGGCGCUGUCUCCACCCGAGACUCAGUGAAAUUGAAAUCGCUGUGAAGAUGCAGUGUAUCCGCGGCUAGACGGAAAGACCCCGUGAACCUUUACUAUAGCUUGACACUGAACAUUGAGCCUUGAUGUGUAGGAUAGGUGGGAGGCUUUGAAGUGUGGACGCCAGUCUGCAUGGAGCCAACCUUGAAAUACCACCCUUUAAUGUUUGAUGUUCUAACUCGG